AGUAACUGCGAGUGAAGCGGGAUGAGCUCAAAUUUAAAAUCUGGCGGUUUCACCGUCCGAGUUGUAAUCUGGAGAAGCGUUUUCCGCGUCGGACCGUGUACAAGUCUCUUGGAAUAGAGCGUCAUAGAGGGUGAGAAUCCCGUCCAUGACACGGACUCCCGAUGCUUUGUGAUACGCUCUCAAAGAGUCGAGUUGUUUGGGAAUGCAGCUCAAAAUGGGUGGUAAAUUCCAUCUAAAGCUAAAUAUUGGCGAGAGACCGAUAGCGAACAAGUACCGUGAGGGAAAGAUGAAAAGCACUUUGGAAAGAGAGUUAAACAGUACGUGAAAUUGUUGAAAGGGAAACGCUUGAAGUCAGUCGCGUUGUACGGAGCUCAGCCUUGCUUCUGCUUGGUGUAUUCUCUGUGUCAACGGGUCAACGUCAAUUUUGACCGGUGGAAAAGGGCUUGGGGAAUGUAGCGUCGUUUCGGCGACGUGUUAUAGCCCCAGGUCGUAUGCAUCGGUUGGGAUUGAGGACCGCAGCACGCCCUUGUGGCCGGGGAUUCGUCCCACGUUCGUGCUUAGGAUGUUGGCAAAAUGGCUUUAAGCGACCCGUCUUGAAACACGGACCAAGGAGUCUAACAUGCCUGCGAGUGUUCGGGUGGAAAACCCUUGCGCGUAAUGAAAGUGAAAGUUGGGAUCCCUCGCAAGGGGGUGCACCGACGCCCGGCCCUGACGUUCUCUGACGGUGCUGCGGUAGAGCAUGUAUGUUGGGACCCGAAAGAUGGUGAACUAUGCCUGAAUAGGGUGAAGCCAGAGGAAACUCUGGUGGAGGCUCGUAGCGAUUCUGACGUGCAAAUCGAUCGUCAAAUUUGGG
This 853-nucleotide ribosomal RNA is filed under the name Hymenochaete curtisii. RNAcentral describes it as "eukaryotic LSU rRNA". It matches the Rfam family "Eukaryotic large subunit ribosomal RNA", at positions 82 to 915 of the family's 3401-position model. The record is from RNAcentral. Lineage: Eukaryota; Fungi; Basidiomycota; Agaricomycetes; Hymenochaetales; Hymenochaetaceae.